Bactrocera tryoni is the source of this 1114-nucleotide long non-coding RNA. RefSeq lists it as uncharacterized. The transcript is spliced from 2 exons. The record is from RefSeq and is a predicted model, not a curated record. NCBI's taxonomy places the organism in Eukaryota, Metazoa, Arthropoda, Insecta, Diptera, Tephritidae.
ACUGACGGCAUUUUUAGCAAGAAUCACCGAAAACUGUUCAAAAUGACGUGCGAAAAUAGAAUAAAAAGUAAAAUUGCGGCGUGAAAAAAUAACAACAAACACGGCACAUAGCCUACGACAAAGUGAAAAUUCAAGCGCUGGCAAUUGAAAAACACGAAAAAAACAACAACAAAGCGCGGCGAGCGAGUUUCAUAUUAGUAUUUUUAUUAAAAACAGCUAACACUGCUCAUAAUUCUCGGUGCUUGGCCGUGCGCGCGUACACAUAACGUUGGCCAAAUCGCUCGAAUGCGCACGUUAUGUAAGCAGGACUUUUUGGACACUUUCGAAACGCGAAAAAAUCAAAUUUAAAUGCAAAUAAAAAAUAUUUAUUGUAAAUAAAGCAUUUACAAUGGUGAAAAAAACGAAAAUUUUUAUACAAGCUUAUGGAAAAUGAUGAAAAUUCAAGCGGUGUAAUACUUUAACGAAUAUUAAAUGCAAACGAAAUCGCGAAAACGCGUCAACUGACCAAAACAAACUACGACAAUCAAGCAAAAAUGUUGCUAUUUUAAUAAAAAAUAAAAUUACCAAUUUAAAUUAACGGUUUUUAUUCAUAUACAUACAUAUGUGUGUGUGCGCCAUGAGUUAUGGCCAUAAAAAAUUGUGCAAUUAUUUAUGACUAAUGCGAAAGUGCACAACCAACAACUGCAAUAAUAACGAGCAAAACCAAUUAAAAUAAUAAUAAUAACUUCAGCGCAGACGUUUUUGAUGUGAAUUGUUGCAACAAAAAUAAGCCAGUUCAUUCGUAAACAAUAAUAAACUGCGUCGUUGCACGCGCCGCGUAAGCGUCAAUGUCAGUACUUACGUAUAAUAUACAUAUGUAUGUAUAUAAGUAUAUACGCGAGGUGUGAAAGUGCUGAAGAAACAGCGCAAAUAUACGGAAAAGAAAAAAAGAAAAUUGAAAUUGUAAAAUAGCUGUAAAUAUGUAUAUAUAAAGCGAGCAGCGCUAAAAAAAGCAGCAAAACGCGAGCUGCACGCAUAAACAUUAAUUAACACAUACAAGCAAAUUGAUGUGAAAAAAUUUGCAAAAAAUCAACACAAAAAAUGUUAUGAGCAGUUUAAUUUACGAUCCUCAGAA